RNAcentral lists this precursor RNA (494 nucleotides) under Gossypium hirsutum (cotton). Its description in RNAcentral is "precursor microRNA 164". The stretch from base 264 to 348 matches the Rfam family "MIR164 microRNA precursor family". The record is from RNAcentral. Lineage: Eukaryota; Viridiplantae; Streptophyta; Magnoliopsida; Malvales; Malvaceae.
UCGAGCAUAAUAUCAAUUAGAUUAAAACAUCUCUGAAUUUCAUAAUUACAAACCAGAUAGAUAGAUACAUGAAAACUUAGACCCCAGAGCUCUGUCUUUAAAGAAUGCCCACUUCUAGACUCAAUCUCUAUUACUCUCUUCUUUUUUUUCUCUCUCUCUCUCUUCGGAAAAACUUGUAUAUAAAUAAAUGUCACUUCCUUUGCUUUCUGCACUCAACUCAUGAACUUGAAAAGCUUUACUUGGAUGGGUUGGUUGGGGGUGAGUAUCUCUUGUUGGAGAAGCAGGGCACGUGCAAGUUCCUAUGUUUAAGUGAACUUUGCACGUGCUCCCCUUCUCCACCGUGAGUUUCUCAUUCUGAUUGCUGAUUGCAGUACUGAAUCUGCAACUGCAUCUCACCUCUUUGAAACUACAGAUGUCGACCAGGACAAAAAAGGUAAUCUAUCAUAUAUAUGUUUAUCUUUUACAUUCCUCUCUUCACCUGCAAUCAUCAGCGG